CCCCGUUGCCGUCUGCGGCGGAUCCAGCACUGCUCUGGCCGCUUCUCCUACAUCUAGCGCCGGCCGCACUGCUCUGGCCGCUUAUACAUCUAGCACCGGCCGCCCCCACCUUCUUCCCGUCAUCGGCGUCUGCCCAGCUCGGCAUCCCUCCAUCCUUGGCACGAAUAUGCCCUCGAUCCCUCCAUCCUCGCAUCAGCUACCUAGUGGGAUUAGACGUCAAGCUGCAGGUACAUCAGAAAUCCAAAUCCACAGGACACACUGCCGUCAGUGCACGAGAGAUUCCUCUUCAUAGCUCGUCCAACAGGUCCCUCCCCUUGAAGGCUUGAACGAGGUAAGCUUAGUGGUGGCCUACAUCAUAGUUUUGUUCUUAUCCGUGUUUUGUAUUCCACUCAUUGAUUAACUUGUGCCGUAUUGGUGCAAUGGAUCUAUGUGAGUUCAACUACAUGUGCCUAUUGUUCCAUAGAUUAGCAUCUUUGUUUUACAAGCAAAUUGGCCACACCAUUAGUUAUUGCUUUGAAUUGCAUGUGGCAACACUUAUUCUACCGAUCUUGCUGGCUUUCAAAGCAGCUAAAUUAUUUACUAACAACUAUAUUGUUUAGUUAGUUCAUCUUUGGCAUAUCUGAAUAAUAGCGUCUUACAUUUUCAAUGGCGGAAAGGGCCUAUCCAGAAUUUCUCAGCUGCAGAGGUUCCAUGUCUC
Lolium rigidum is the source of this 697-nucleotide long non-coding RNA. RefSeq lists it as uncharacterized. Lineage: Eukaryota; Viridiplantae; Streptophyta; Magnoliopsida; Poales; Poaceae. The record is from RefSeq and is a predicted model, not a curated record. The transcript has 2 exons.